Long non-coding RNA from Zea mays, 907 nucleotides. RefSeq lists it as uncharacterized. The transcript is spliced from 3 exons. Lineage: Eukaryota; Viridiplantae; Streptophyta; Magnoliopsida; Poales; Poaceae. The record is from RefSeq and is a predicted model, not a curated record.
AAAAAGAAGAAAAGAAAUCCACAAAAUAAGAAACGGUCGUUCAGCCAAUCUCCCUGACCAAUGCUCUCAUUUCCCCUCCCUCUCUCAUUCUUACAGGUGGACCCCAUGUGUCAUUUCCUCCACUCUUCCCUCUCCAUAACCGUCUCCAAUUAGUGCUUGCUGCACGAUCAGAGAAACCGGCAUCUCCCCCACGUUGCUUGGCCUCUCGCCUUAGGCCCUGUAGGACUACCCCGCCAACCCUCCAGGGAACGCACUCGCUUCUGCUCAUCCAACACCCUUCUCCUAGGCGGUCCUGCAUCCCCCAUAUGGCACUUUUCCCCUUUGUCCUUGGUCAGCGGCGGUGCUGCAGCCCGGUGCAAUACUCGUAUCCUCGACGCUCGCCAAGUGCUUGAUGAAAGGCCAGCAAGCUCUGCUCCCUUUCCCGCGAUCCUCGGUCGGCGCUUCCUCUCUCCUCCAUGAUUGAGUGCGUCCGUGCUGCAGCCUCGACGUCGUCCGCCUCCUGGUGCCCCAUUGCGCGGCCGUGACAUUCACUGUCCGCAUCCGCGUUUCGCCGUUCGUCGUUGGCUCGCCUCGCCGUCGCUUCGCGUCAUGCGCGCAGCACGUUGUCGUGCCUCGCCACUGGCUUGUUUGGCCGUCUGCCGUCGUUGCAAGGUUGCCUUUGGUGCAAUCUAUGCUCAGGUAAAGAAGAAGGCGUCGAGGCGGAUCUCCAGGAGUUCCAGGGCUUCGGCGAGUUCGAGGAUUAGGCUAGCGACCUCCCCCAGUCAGCUGCCUGUGGUGGGUUUAUUUACGUUGGCUACGUUUCUACUCUGUGUACUUUGAUUAUAUUAUGUAAAUGAAUCUAGUCUGUAAUAUUAUUACUUACUCUUUAUUGUAAUUUGAAGCAUUGUGCUAUGAUGAGUCAUUUAUG